AGUGAACGCUGGCGGUAGGCCUAACACAUGCAAGUCGAACGGCAGCACAGUAAGAGCUUGCUCUUACGGGUGGCGAGUGGCGGACGGGUGAGGAAUACAUCGGAAUCUACUUUUUCGUGGGGGAUAACGUAGGGAAACUUACGCUAAUACCGCAUACGACCUACGGGUGAAAGCAGGGGAUCUUCGGACCUUGCGCGAUUGAAUGAGCCGAUGUCGGAUUAGCUAGUUGGCGGGGUAAGGGCCCACCAAGGCGACGAUCCGUAGCUGGUCUGAGAGGAUGAUCAGCCACACUGGAACUGAGACACGGUCCAGACUCCUACGGGAGGCAGCAGUGGGAAUAUUGGACAAUGGGCGCAAGCCUGAUCCAGCCAUACCGCGUGGGUGAAGAAGGCCUUCGGGUUGUAAAGCCCUUUUGUUGGGAAAGAAAAGCAGCAGGUUAAUACCCCGCUGUUCUGACGGUACCCAAAGAAUAAGCACCGGCUAACUUCGUG
Molecule: ribosomal RNA, 491 nt
Filed under: uncultured bacterium
Lineage: Bacteria
Description: partial 16S ribosomal RNA
Rfam family: Bacterial small subunit ribosomal RNA
Source: RNAcentral